GCAAGGGGACUUCCCCAUCCAGUCUUGAGCUAAGGCUGGAUGGGGAAGAGUUUCAGGCUGGGAUCUGUAAAGCAGGGCUGUUUCUGAAGGCCAGAUGUUGUGAAUGUGUUGCUUUUUUAUUAUUUAUGCUGAUGCCUCGUUGGAGAUGCAAUCGUAGACCAGAGCCUCCCAAAGUGUAUGUCACAACACAUCAAUGUGUCUUCCGCAGUGCACAGGUGGAUUAAACUAGGGGUCCUCAAACUUUUUAAGUGGCGGGCCGGUUCAUGGUCCGUCAGACUGUUGGGGGGCCGGACUAUGAUGAAAUAGUCCAAAAUUGGGAUUGUUGUUGUUGUGUGCCUUCAAGUUGUUUCAGACUUAGGUAAUAGAAUUUUGACUUUCCCAGUAAGGUUAAGGUAAAGGUUUCCCCUGACAUUAAGUCCAGUCAUGUCUGACUCUGAGGGUUGGUGCUCAUCUCCAUUUCUAAGCCGAAGAGCCGGCGUUGUCCAUAGACACCUCCAAGGUCAUGUGGCCGGCAUGACUGCAUGGAGCGCAGUUACCUUCCCGCCAGAGCGGUACCUAUUGAUCUACUCACAUUGGCAUGUUUUCGAGCUGCUAGGAUGGCAGAAGCUGGAGCUAACAGUGGCUGCUCACGCCGCUCCCGGGGUUUUUUGAACCUGGGACCUUUCAGUCUGCAAGUUCAGCAGCUCAGUGCUUUAACACACUUCGCCACUGGGGCUCCUUAUGUUUCAGACUUAGGUCAACCCUAAGUCCGAAGUUUAGGACAGUGGCCAAGUAAAGGACCUUGGAGGGCCUUACUUUGGGGACCCCUGGAUUAAACCUUUGUGCCGGCUGAACUGCUGACCCGAAGGUUGCUGGUUUGAAUCCGCGAGGUGGGGUGUGCUCUCAGCUGCCAGCUCUAGCUUGCAGGGACAUGAGAGAAGCUUCCCACCAGGAUGAUAACACAUCCGGGCGUACCUUGGGCAACAUCUCUUUAGACCAGAGCCAGUCCAACAAUGAGGCGAAUUAAGCGGUUGCUUGGGGCGCAAAACAUACGGGGGCGCAGUCGAGACUCCUUUUUCUGUUGAUUUGUUGUAAAACAUGAUGUUUUGGUACUUAAUUUGUAAAAUCUUAAUGUAAUUUGAUGUUUAAUAGGCUUUUCCUUAAUCCCUCCUUAUUAUCCAACAUUUUCGCUUAUCCAAUGCUUUUAUUUUUCAGUGAUUGGUUUGGGGGGGGGGGGCACCAAAAUUCUGUUCGCCUACACUUGAAAAAUACCUAGGGCCGGCUCUGCUUUAGACAGCCAAUUCUCUCACACCAGAAGUGACUUAGAAUCAGAAUAAUAGAGUUGGAAGAGAUCUCAGGGGGCAUCCAGUCCAACCCCCUGCCAAGAAGCAGGAAAUCGCAUUCAAAGAACCCGCCAUCCAGCCUCUACUUAAAAGCCUCCAAAGAAGGAGCCUCCACCACACUCCGGGGCCAGAGAGUUCCACUGCUGAACAGCUCUCACAGUGAGGAAGUUCUUCCUGAUGUUCAGGUGGAAUCUCCUUUCCUGUAAUUUGAAGCCGUUGUUCCGCAUCCUAGUCUCCAGGGCAGCAGAAAACAAGCUUGCUCCCUCCUUCCUAUGACUUCCCCUCACAUAUUUGUACAUGACCAUCAUGUCUGCUCUCAGCCUUCUCUUCUGCAGGCUAAACAUGCCCAGCUCUUUAAGCCACUCUUCGUAGGGCUUGUUCUCCAGACUUCGAUCAUUUUAGUCACCCUUCUCUGGACACAUUCUAGCUUGUCAACAUCUCCCUUCAAUUGCAGGGCGCUGCGUUUGGUGGUCCCUAUGUAGACUUGUCCACAGCUGCAUGGUAUACGGAGAGCAGAGCUGAGAGCAGAGCUGAGAAGAUCCCUCUUGUCCUUGGCUGAACGUAGCAUUUGUUGGAUUUUCUUAGUAGGUCUGUAGACAGGCCACAGACAUCAGAAGAGCUGUAACGAGAAGAACAAGCCAUGAGAGUAAAGACAAAGAUCCACCCAGAGGAAAAGUGUUCUUACCAUACAUCAAGUGAACCACUGACCGCAUAGGCAAGCUGCUGGAGAAACACAACCUACAAACUAUCUACAGACUUACUAAGAAAAUCCAACAAAUGCUACGUUAAGCCAAGGACAAGAGGGAUCCUCUCACCUCUGCAGGAGUCUUACCGUAUACUAUGCAGCUGUGGACAAGUCUACAUAGGGACCACCAAAUGCAGCAUUGCCCAGACAAGAAUCAAGGAACAUGAAAAGCACUGCAGACAAACUCAACCAGAGAAGUCAGCCAUAGCAGAGCAUUUGAUGAACCAACCUGGAUGCAGUAUAUUAUUUGAGAACACAAAUGCUCGACCACUCUCACAACUAUCAUGUCAGACUACAUAGAGAAGCUAUUGAAAUCCACAAGCAUGUGGACAAUUUCAACAGAAAGGAGGAAACCAUGAACAUGAACAAAAUCUGGCUACCACUAUUUAAAAUCAGAACAGUAAAUAAGGAACAAUACUAAAAACAGAGGAUUUCCAGACAUGAAUCUAUCAAGGGCAGCUAACGACUCUGAACAAAGGAUUCCCCAGGCAAGAAGAAGCCAGGAGACGAAACUAUUCAAUGCUAAUUAAGGUGAUUAAUUACAACAUUCACACUGGCCUCCAACUGACAAGAGUUCUUCUCCCACCCUAGACCUUCCACAGAUAUAUAAACCUUCCUUUCCUAGUUUUCCCAUAUACUUCACAACCUCUGAGGAUGCCUGCCAUAGAUGUGGGCGAAACGUCAGGAGAGAAUACUUCUGGAACAUAGCCAUAUAGCCCGAAAAAUACACAACAAUCCAGUGAUUCCGGCCAUGAAAACCUUCGACAACACAUUGUAUUAUCAUUGUUUUCAGUGAUUGGUUUGGGCGAGGGGGGGGGAUUCUGUUCGCCUACACUUGAAAAAUACCUAGGGCCGGCUCUGUCUAUGUCUAAGAUCUUUGGGAGAGUCUUGUACUCAUGUUCUUGGAUUCAUGUUUUGAAAGAAGUUCCUGUAUUCCUGGUUAUGGAUUUAUGGCUAUGCUUUGAUUCCAGCUUUGUUCAUGUAUCUUGUCACUUUUGAACAGAACUGUGCUGUUUGGGCUAUUGACUUUUGAAUGUCUUUUUCCUAUUGCUUUUUGGACAUUGCUUUUUAUAUUACCUUUUGCCUUUUGGGCUUUUUAUAUUUGCUUCUCUCAAUAAACUGUUUAGUACUAUUGGACUCCUGUGUGGUGUUGGGUACAACACCUGUGUGGUGUUGUUGCACUCCAGGCUAGAGUGCAACAGUCAUUAGUAAUCUUGGCUUCCAGGAAGACUUUAAGCUUAAUUUACUCUAGGACCCAUUGAUUUGUCUUUUAAGCAGUCACGGUAUCCACAAAACUCUUCUCCAGGCACCACAUUUCAAAUGACUUGAUUCUCUUUCUAUAACUAUGCAUAGAAAUUGGAACUGUAAUAGCAUUGGCAAUCUUUAAUAUUCAGUGAUAUAUCCUUACACCUCAGGGUCUUCUCUAGCUUCUUCAUGGCUGCCCUACCAUUUUCAGAUGGAUGAUGAAGACGGUGACAGUUUUAUUGCAACAUAUUGGCAUGUUAUUGUUUUCCAAGAACAUAUCUACAAGGAAUCAACAUUAAUCAUGAUCUCGCUACCAAUGUUGACUUCCACCCACCCCCACCAACCUAAAACCAUCCUGGAGUCCUUGUUAUUAUUAAAACCCAAACUUAUGUAGUACAAGAUUAAGCUAUAAUGCUUACUCGUGCAUUUAUCUGAAUGGAGAUAUGAGAAGUAUUUCUUUGAAGGAACUAUAUAUGUGGAAUAGACUAAAUAUGCUUUUGCCUGCCCCCACCCACACCCCAAAACAGAGCCAUUGAGCCAACCUACAUAAUCUAGUAUAAUGCACGCAGAGAGAACCGCAUUAAAGAAAGUUGCCUGCAGAGCAAAUAGCUCCAGAUGUCUCAAGCAAGAGAUCUUUUGAAUGCCUGCAAUGCAUUUAUUUUAAAGAAAUGAAAUUUAGGCUUACUGCUCACCUACCAAAAAACAUUGAAUGUGAGAACAGAAAGCGGUGCUUAUUCAAAAUAGUUUUUUUUAUAAAACAGCUUUUAAAAGUGACUAUGGUUAGGAUUUCUGGAGUGGGGCGUAAUUCUAUGCAGAGUGAGGGGCUGCAGCAAUCGCCUCAUGUCUGCUGAUCCACUUGGAAAAAAGGGAAUACAAAUGAAGCUAACUGUUGAGGUAAAGCAAGGAAAAAAGAAAACCUAAUAUAAUGGCAUAAGAGCUUCAUUGAAUGGCGGAUAAUAGAUUAUAAGUUAGAUUGAUUAAUAAACCGUUUACUUCCUUUCAAAAAAUUAGAACCCUUAUAAUGGGGGUGUCAUCUUUGUAUUGUAUAGUUGCUGCCUUUUCUCAGAUGAUUUUGUUGUGUGGCGUUGUCAAAAGCUAUGUAAAGCCCAGUUCUCUUAGGGUGCUGGGACGAACAUAUGGAAAGCUAAAUGCAUUGUGGGGCUCUGCCACAAAAGGAUGCAGAAACAGCAUCUCUUACAAAUGGUUGUCCACACUCUGCUUCAAUAUACCCUGCAAAGGAGAACACACCACCAGCUAUUCCACCACUGAAUAGCUCUCAAAGUUAAGAAGUUUCUUAUCCUGUUCAGCUAAAAUCUGUUUUCCUGCCAUUUCUAGCCAUUGGUUCUAUUCCAACUCUUGGGGCAACAGAGAACUAUGCUCCAUUUUUAAUCUGAUAGCCCUAAAGGUAUUUGAAGGUUUGAAACACAUCUCCUCCCUAUUUUCUGUUCCCCAGGGGAAACAUACUCAACUGCUUAAAUCAUUCCUAGCACAACUUCGUUUCCUCACUUCUCUGUGGACAUAUUCUAAUUUGUCAAUAUCAUUCUGCAAAUGUGGUGCCCUGAAUUAGACACAGUAUUUCAAAUAUGACCUAACAAAUACAAAGGAGAAGACAAUUAUUAUCUAGUUGUGAUGCUUUUGUUCAUAGAUAGAUCUACACUGUAGAAUUAAUGCAGUUUGACAUGAUUUUGCUACAGAAUCCUGGGAUUUGUAACUUGGUGGGGCGAUAGCACUAUUGCAGAAAAGGCUAAAGUCCUUCUAAAACCGCAACUCCCACGAGUCCCAUACAUUGAGCCAUAGCAUUAAAAUGGUGUUACACUACAUUAAUUCUACAGCAGUGGUUCCCAUCCUGUGGUCUGUGGACCACCAGUGGCCCCCAUUAACAAAAAUAUGGUCCGCAGCCUCACUAUUGCUACACUGUUGCAACAAGAGCGACUGGUCUCGCGAAACCCUCUUAUAGUGCCAAGACAACGGGAGGGGAGAGGCUGACUACCCACAAAAGGCCCAACAAUAAGCCUCCUGACUGCUGCUUCUCCUCCUCCCUCCCCCUGACUGGAGCCAUCCCAUGUAGCGCCUGGAAGCAGGAGUGCCUUGAUGUCUUCGUUUUUAGGCCUGCUCCUGGGUUUAUUUGGGGCGCUGAUUCAGAAAAUUGCAUUGAAUAGACAACAUGAGCUCUAGAUUAUUAAAUACGGUUUUCUGUGGGCGAGCAGAUGGCAACUAUUGGAUGGCAUAUGUUCUAUAUCAGAAAUUAAAGCUAAUGUGAUCUGUCCGAUGCAAUUUUCUGAAUCAGCACCCCAAAUAACCAAACUGAAUCUAAAGUUGACCAAAAAUGGAUUAGUAAUCCUUUUGGUACUAAUAUUGGAGAGUGGUCCCUGGUCAAAGUGGUCCCUGGUCAAAAAAAGGUUGGGAACCACUGUUCUACAGUGUAGAUGCACCCUUAGACAUCAUUAGCUUUCUCAUAUUGACAUCAUUACUGGCUGGCUGGCGCAUAUUCAGCUUAUGAUCCAUUAAAACAUUUAAAUCCUUUAGAUUCCCCACAGCCUAUAAUUGUGCCUAUGAUUUUUGGCAUACCUAAGUGCAAGACUUUACCACUAUGAAUACUGAAUUCCAUUUGUUAGUUUUGGCCCAGCAUUCCAGUCUAUUUAUAGUGUCCUGAAUUUAUCCUUUCAUCUGUGGAGAUGCUGUCCCCCCAGCUUCCUUUGAUAAGGAAUCCCUUUUCACCUACAUCUUAGUGAUUUAUGAAAAAUAAAAAUAGGCCUUUCAUGGGUAAAUAAAUGGAAAGCACUAUAGAAGAUAACACAGAAUAUCAAAUAUCAUUCCUUGCAUUUUGAAGUGUGCAAGUACUCAGCCUAAACAAUUUGGGGGCUCCCACAUUUCUGGCACAUCAUGGUUCACAGAUGAAAAUAAUCAUAAUUUCAUAACUGCAGUAACAUUGCUGUGCUGGUUGUCAGCUCCACUUUAGGUUAAUGGUCCCUCUAACAAAUUAGGGCUGGAAGAAUAGAGCAAGGGUAACCCUCCCAAUGAAAUAGACUUUGGACUUGCAGUAAUGAGCAGGAUACCUGGAAAAAUACUGCCCUCAGAAGCAUUUGGAUCGUGUCUAGUUUAAUAUAUUUCUUUUUGGUACAGUAUUCUUGGUACCCUAUAAAGAGAAACACAUGGAGAAGUAUAUUUGUUUUAUUCCACUGUUAGUUCAACAUGGUUUAGCCCAUUUUAUUUUCGUGCCUUCUUUAGGGUACAUAUUGAAAUAUCCUGAAAGCAUCUCUGAAAGGUGACAAAAGAACUGGGUAUACUUUUCCCCGUAGUAUGUUGAGACUCUUUUAGCAUGUAUUCUUUUUUCAAUGUCUGUAUCUCUUGCUUUAUCAUUGGCAAUAAUUAAUCACAGAAUCAUAGAGUUGGAAGAGACCUCAUGGGCCAUCCAGUCCAACCCCCUGCCAAGAAACAGGAAAACCGCAUUCAAAGCACCCCCGACAGAUGGCCAUUCAGCCUCUGCUUAAAAGUCUCCAAAGAAGGAGCCUUCACCACACUCUGAGGCAGAGAGUUCCAUUGCUGAACAGCUCUCACAGUUAGAAAAUUAUUUCUAAUAUUCAGGUGGAAUCUCCUUUCCUGUUGUUUGAAGCUAUUGUUCUGCAUCCUAGUCUCCAGAGCAGCACAAAACAAGCUUGUACUAUGCUCCCCAUGACUUCCCCUCACAUAUUUAUACAUGGCUUCUAACCCUUCAUCUAAGUAAUAAAGAUGUUGAAUAGAACCGGGCCCAGGACGGCACGCCACUCGUCACUUCUUUCUAAGAUGAAGAGACGCAUUAGCGAGCACCCUUUGGGUUCGUUCACUUAGCCAAUUAAAGAUCCACCUAACCGUAGUUUUGCCAAGCCCACAUUUGACUAGUUUGUUUGCCAGAAGGCCAUUGGACCCUGUCAAAGGCCUUAUUGAAAUCCAGGUAUGCAACAUCCAGUGUUACCUGCAUCGACCCAGCUUGUAACUCUAUCAAAAAAAUGGCUGGAAACAGUUGUUAAUAAUUAUGACCAUAUAUCAGGGCCAAAUCUGAUGGCUAGGUGGACUUUUCAGCUUUAAUUAUUGCAUGACAGAAGACAUUUCCUUGCUCUGGUUGAAAUUCUCACUUUUACACACUUGUAAAAGUUGCAGCCCUGUCCUCUAUUACACCUGGUAACCCUCUGAGCCAAUAUGAUAUGUUCUAAAACAUUGACUACAGUUUCGCAAAGGUGAGAAUGAGAAAAUUGGACUACAGCACCACACAUCUGGUUCAUUACUUUUCCAAGAGGAAAUUGUUCUCCUUUCCACCUGUAUCUGAAAAUAACUGUAAAACUGCUGAAUGGUGAUAUUUGGAAAACAAUCAUUUUAUUUCUUUGGAGAAAGGAAGACACCAAGAUUCCUAGAAACAACACGGUUAAUAUUUAUUAACAACCCUUGAGGGGUUGUUAAUGCAUUGCUAACCCAAUCUACACAGCUAGCAGAAAUUUUGGAGUUUUCUCCCCCUUUCCCUCUCUCUCCCUAUUAAAAACUAGCUUUGGGGUGUGUUUUAUCCCUCAAGAGCUGGCUUUUGGAGGCACACAGGGGCGGGGGCUACGGUGGAGAGAAUAAUUCUGUCAGCAGAGGUCUACCAAUGGAUCCUGCCCAUAAAAUCUUAUUAAGAGCUACUGUGAAAACACUUGACAGCUUCUAAAUGUAUCAUUUCGGUGUUGUAAAAGCUGUUGAUGGUAACUCAAUGGAUUCUUGCCUGCAAUUUUAGUGCCCCUAGUAUGGGAGUAAAAAUAAGGAAAGUUGACUUUCCAGAGAUGCCAUCUGCUGGAUAAGAUGUAAAGGAGAUAUGAUAAUUACUUCAGUUAAUUAAAGACCCCAGGCCAUAUUUUCUACAUGUAGGUAGUUAAUCCAAGUGCUCUGGCAAAGUUCCAGCUCCAGUUAUUACAUACUGAUGGCCUACAUUCUCUUUCAAGAGCAAUAUGGAAUGUGUCUCUCCUUGCCUUUUUAUGGUAUAAUGCAGAAGCUGCCGCACCAGAGAAAGGGAAAGUGCAAACGCAGGAGAGGAACUGUCAGAGCUGACAUGACCUAUUGCUGAAUGGACAGAAGAACAGUGGGCAGAAAAUACAGAAGGAAACCUUGGGCAGUAGCUGCAUGAAAGCAGGCCUGUUGAGAGCUGGCACUGGGCUUUGGGCAAAAUACAUGAUCAAGGGGCCCUCUCUAAAUUUAGCACCAGGCCUUAUAGACAGUGGUGUCAUUCACCUGAUUUGCACUGGUUUGCCUGAACCAGUUGUUAAAUUGCUAAAAGACACAAUGGCUGAGGAGGUUAAAAGCAGUGGCAUGUGAAAAAACCAAAGGAGCUAAGGAGGAUGGAGAGAUGACAGGUACAGGAAAAUUCUUCCCAACCAAGCAUUUUCUUUAACACCCUUCACACAUUUGCUGUUAGAACAAUAAGAUAUUAGUCAGAAGGAAUUUUCCACAUGCCUCUAACCCCAGCCAUGGGCAAACUUUGGCCCUCCAGGGGUUUUGGACUUCAGCUCCCACAAUUCCUAACAGCCUACCAGCUGUUGCCCAGAGGGCCGCAGUGGUGCAAUGAGUUAAACCCUUGUGCUAUUGAACUCCUGACCUGAAGGUUGGCUGUACUGCUGACCUGAAGGUUGGCAGUUAGAAUCUGUUGAGACCGGUUGAGCUCCUGUCAGCCCAGUUCCUGCCAACCUAGCAGUUUGAAAACAUGCAAAUGUAAGUAGAUAAAUAGGUACUGCUUUGGGGGGAAAGACAGAGAUGUUCCAAAGCAAUCUCACCAGCCACAAGACCAGGAGGUGACAAUGGAGACUCCUUGGCUUGAAAAUGAAGAAAAAGUACCUCCCAGAGCCAGAGAUGAGCACCACCUCCAGAAGCCGGAAAUGAAAGGAGAAGCCUUGCCUUUGUUUGUGUUUGUGUGUCUCAUGUGAUUGUAAAGGCAUUGAAUUUUGCCUAUGUAUGUAAAUGCUGUAAUCCACUCUGAGUCCCCUAGGGGAGAAGUGGAGAAUAUAAAUAAAGUGUAUUAUUAUUAUUAUUAUUAUUAUUAUUAUUAUUAUUAUUAUUAUUAUUAUUAUUAUGUACAGUAUUUAUUUAUUUACAGUAUGUAUAUUCCACCCUUCUCACCCCGAAGGGGACUCCGGGCGAAUCACAAUGUACACAUACAUGGCAAACAUUCAAUGCCAUAUGAACAUAGAGACAGAGACACAGAGGCAAUUUAAUAUCUCCAGCUGCUGACUUCUUGGGGGUAUGCUCAAUUCCAGCCACAGGGGGAGCUGCUGCUUCAUCAUCCACUGUGACGUCGAGUCCUUGAUGGAUUACUUCCUCAUCUUCUGGCACACACACUGCUGGACAUUUUUAUGGUGGUGCAAAUUAGUUAAAUUAGUCUCCCUGCACAAGCGGUCCCUAAAUUUCCUACUUGACAGAUGCAACUGUCUUUCGGGUUGCUUAAGUAAACAACAAGCUGAGGCUAUUUAUGGUCGGCACUUAAUUCGGCCCAGGCUUCAAACUCAUAAUCUCUUGGUCAAUAGUGAUUUAUACUGGGGCUGCGCCACAGCCCGGCCCCAGUAUCAUCAUCAUCAUCAUCAUCAUCAUCAUCAUGCCUGCUCUACCCUAUACAUGCUGCCUCUAAUACAUUUCCCAUUUGCUCAGUUACGCAUUAUAGUUAUGUACAGGUGGAUAGACUCAAUAAAAGAAGAUGUGUCCCUAAAACUACAAAACUGAAGCAGGGCAGUUGGUGAUAAGAUAAUUUGGAGGUCUCUAAUUCAUAGGAUCACCAUAAGUUGAAGUUGACUUUGAAAUAGUUAACAACUAUCUGAGCAACCAUACCAUAUGACCAGGUAUGUUGCAAGCACAUAAAAAGACUCCUCUAUCUUUCCUCUCUUAUUCCUCUGGCUAGUGAGGGAAGGCUCUGCUGAGUUUCUCCUCUUCUUGAAACUUGAAACAAGAGCUUAGAAACCGCAUGUGUACACUGCAUAAUAAAUGCAUGUAUAUAAAACCAAUCUUCAUUUUCCCCAGAAAAAGGUGUCAAUGCUUUAGGAAUCUACUUUUAAUCCGACAAGAGGAUCAGAGAAGAGGGAAGGUCUGGACAUACCAGAGCCGGGUGGAGAGCUGGGGAUGUGAUACACUAAGCGUCCCAUUGUCCAGUGUGGCUGCUGCUGCGGGUCUGGAGGAAACAUUGGCCAUACGCAGAGCUGGGGAAGCAAUAUUGCCCGCUCCUGGGAUGCUGGCAGAGAGGCCAGAAGUAUCCCUAGGUAAAGGAAUCCUGGCAGGUCAUAUUCCCACAUUUUACCUUGAAUUAUUUUGAAUUACACUAUGGACAGUUGAGAUAUCAUCAUUUAUUUUAUAAUGUAAUUUACACACGUAUAUAUACACAGAGGUGUGGGUGUCCCAAGGUCUAGGCUUUAGGGAUUUUGUUUCCCUGCUACUCCUGCUUGAAACCAUAGAGAUAUAGCUAGAUUGGUAGCAGUACUCCAAACGGAUAAAAUUAUAAUAUUCAACAAACCAUUCCUACCCAACUAACAUUUGGGUGGGAAAAUUCUAUGGAAUUCUUCUUAUCUAUGAGGUUAAUUCACUCAUACCGACACAGCAACAUAAAACUCUAUUUUUGGCAAUUUACUCUUAUAUAGUUGCAUGUGAAUAGGUUCUGUGAGUAUUUCAAACCAUGAAAUUUAAAGCAACCAGGGUUAAAAUUUGCUAAACGAUAUGUAAGUAAGAGUGGAUCUAAACAGUAUAUCCUUCAUGUGGAAGCCACCAAAGAAUGUAUCUUGACAGCACUAUACAUCAUGGGCAGAACAUUUUAAAGUUCCUUACCACAUGUAUCUCCCCAACCACAUGCACUAUCUGUGUGCCAGCACUGUCUCCAUGCGGGAUAUACGGAUCUGGUGGGCAGAUGUUGCAUGGAGUUGUAGAAAAACAAGCUGCAAGGAACAUUAAUAUUUUAUGGCCAUUACGCAGAAUGCAAAUGUGUGUGUGGUGUGUAUGUGUAUGUGUGUGGGGGGGGGGGAGGAUUCAGAAGCUCCAUUUGGUUAUCAUAGUGUUUUACUUAGUCAAUGACCAUCCAGGUUAAUCCUUGUGCAAGUAGAACUGAUGAGUUAUAUUUGACUGCAACACACUCACGGCUCAAUCUGACAUUGUGUUAGCAGUGAACUACUACAGGCAGACCCCAAAUUAUGAACAUCCAACUUAAAUAUGACUCCUAGUUACAGACGGGGGUGAUACUACAGGAAGUGAGAAGAAAUCUACUCCUAGGAAGGGAAAUCAACUCCUGGAAGUUAUCACAGAAAGUUAUCCACUCGGUCUCACUUCCGUCUCAAGCGUGGUUGGUGGGGAUGAGGGAGAGGGCCUUCUCGGUGGUAGCCCCCUGGCUUUGGAAUGCCCUCCCCAGAGAAAUUAGACAAGCCCCCCUACUCCGCAAUAUUUUCGCAAGGAGCUGAAAACAUGACUUUUUAAACAUGCCCUCGACAAUGCCUAAAAAAUCAGCUGCCCAAAUAAAUAAGACUCUGGCACUCUAUGUCAAUUAGAAUUUAGUAUUGUCCAUUUUAAUUGCUAUCACUGUAUUUUUAUUGAAUAUCUUAUUUAAAUUGACUUGGGUUUUACUUUUGUAAGUGUUAUUUAUGUUUUGAUAUUGUGUUGUUACUAAUGUUGAUGUAUUUGACUUGUAUUUUAUGUGUUAUAGCACUAAGAUGUGCUGUCUUGUAAGCCGCCCCGAGUCCCUUUGGGAGACGGUAGCUGGAUGUAAAUAAAGUUGUUGUUGUUGUUAUUAUUGUUGUUGUUGUUAUUCAAUAAUCCUGGUUUCCAUGAAAACCCAAAACAUUAAAAAUCCAAGGUGAAAUCUUCUGAACAAAGGGACAGAUAGCAAAACAAACACCACAGGGGUGUUAACCCUUCCCUAUGCUAUCCAAAGCUGUCUGUCUGUCUGCCUGCCUGCCUGCCUGCAUGGGCUGGUCCAUGAGGUCACAAAGAGUCGGAAGUGACUGAACAAAUAAACAACAACAAUAUAUAUAGGUCUGUAGGUUUGUUAAGUUGCAUUUGUAUGCAAGUCAGAAUAGGUGCCAUAUAGCCGGAGUUACACUUUAAAAUGCACUUUUUCUGAUUUACAUACAAACCUACAGAACCUACCUGUAGGACUGUCUGGAUACAUGAAAGGACAUCCUUUCUCCUUCUUCGUUUGCUGACCAAGAAACUCUAGGUCCUCCAAUGAGAUCCUAUGACCAACUUUCACCAAAUGUCAACCACAAAGUCCUACGAGAAAAGCUAGAAAUUCCUAGAGAGAUGUUAUCUCAGAUAAAAGCAAUAGAAAUGUCUUUGUUCACCAUUUUUAACUUUCAUGGGGGUCCUGUGCUCCUAAUGACAGUGAAUGUGGAAGGCUGUACUUAGAUAAUCUCUUAAAGAGUGAAAGUUGCUAGUUCCCUUUUGUCUGGUACCACUAGAAGCUGUUCAUCUGAAAGCACCUUCACUUUCAAAACAUGGAAAAGCUACUGACAAAAAUGCAAGCUCUAAUAGGGAACUAGCUGAGCAGAUCUUUGGAUCCUUAUGUUUUCAAUCUUGGCUUCAAACAACCGGAAAGGUGAAAAGUGAUAAUUUCAUAACCUAAUAGGGAUGCCGUUUUAAUGGUGGAAUCAAGGAAAAUCUGAUGAAUGCCAGCACCGGGAGUAGAUUUCCUUAAGAUCCAAUGAAGCCAUGCAUAAAUGGCUCCCUAAAUGAGAGUCACUUUUCAAUGGAGUCACCCUCCAAAUUUAAAAUGGUUUGAAACAGGCAUUUUGUCUCACCCUUAUCCCUGAUCAAGCAGGUUUAGUAAACUUUUGAAAAAAUACUAAAUGCCUGGUUUAUCAAGAGAGAGAGAGAGAGUCAGAUGUGUAUACACACCAUGAACAGCUAUCCUCAUUUGAAAACAAUUUUAGUGCACUGUAGAAAAAAAAUCAUUUCCAGCCUCGAACAGGCACGACAGUGGAGCUGUUUUGUGUGUCUGAUAAGCAGUCAGCAUGCAGGACUGCUCUUGCAUAGCGACACUAGUGUUCUUCAAAAUUAAACUGUCAGAAAUGUUAAGUUGCUAAGGGGAAAAAAGUAAUACUUCUACUACCGUGAGCCCAGAGUAUAAAUUUUCUCUCCCAUUGUGUUUUGUUCCACCAUUUAACUACUCCUUUUUCCCUCACACUGUUUGUUGACAGGCAAUCUACAACACAGCAUAGCACCACUAAAAGAAUGAGAACACAAUCUAAGCAUUUCUGAAUAAUAGAGGAUUUACACAAAUUACUUGUAAGGUAAAUGAAAAACCUAAACAUGAUGAGAGGGAAACAAAACCGAAAAGCAUCAUGAGAAGGACUUGGGGUUGCUGUCCCUUAUGUGUCUGGUACGUUUUACCUGAAAACCUGUAAUGUUUAGUGAAGAUGUGGAAGUUAAUCCUGCUCUGCAGUAUUUUGUGCAUUUGUUGAACUGGAAUGUUGAAUUUGUAAUUUCGGCAACACCUUGUGUCAGUUGCACCUAAAGGGCAGCAUUGUUGAAUCCUGAUUCCUGACAUUCUGUCGAGCCACAAGGAGGCAUUAAGUCUCUAACAGCGCAUGCCACCUACACACUUGUUGUCCUUUGGAUUCCUUCAUCUCAGUCCAGUGGUUGAGUUCCUCUUCACCAGAACUGUUAAGGCCCAAAGCAAUCCAGCCUAUCAUUUCCUUUCGCUUCAUGCUGCGCUUGUUAUACACAGACAAUAUGAGCGUAACGUCAGAAAGCUGAAACAGUGCCACUUGGAAAAUGAAGGUCUCUUUAUAGACUGGAUUUGGUUGCCCUCUGCGGAUGGAAGUCUUGCAUUUGGACAUCUCUUGACCCAUGGAAUUCAACAAUGUCAGCUUAACAAACGUAUCUGUAAAAUAAACCAUUUGCUACAUGAACAUAUAUUCCACAAAGGAUUUCUUCUAUCGCAAAACAACAGAAUACCUUACAAGGUUAUGGUGUAUACCAUAUAGUAUUUUGAAUAAUUGACUGAACUUAGUAAUGUGAAGACAAGGACAUAAAUAUUUGAUUUAAAUAUUUACUUAAUCUUAUUCAUUUUUUUAUAUCAAGUAGAUUUAAAGGUAUACCGCAUAACCCUUCUAAUCCACUGCCCCUUGUUUAUUUGCAUCAAGCAGACAAGUGUAGCAUUAACAUUAAGCAAGCUACAACUGGCCACAACACUGUGAAGCGUAUCAGAGCUUUCUGAUAAUGUGAACAGGUGACUUUAAAAUUGAAAUAAACAUAAAUAAAGUAAGAGUAACAAUGGGAGUGGAGUGCAGUGAUAUAUCAUGAGAACACAUGAUGAAAUGUUUGCUGAAACAACAGAUCUCUGCAUGGAUGUGGUCUGCAUUCAGUUUAAAUUUGUGAAUGUUUAAAAUGCCAAGAUACAAAAAGAAAAAUGGACUGUAAAGUUGAUGUUAGCUCAUCUGAGUGAAGUUCUUCAUGCUGCCUAUUGUAAUAUGUAUAUAUAAAAGGUAGAACAAUAUAUUACUAGAGUAUUGUUGCUUUAUAAUGCUUUUAAGAAGUGGGGUAACAACACUUAAAAUAUUUAGGGCACAAUCCAAAAAUUUGCAUCCACAGAAAAUAUUAUAUUCAACUGCUCAAUGAAGAAGUCAGAGACAUCAUUGUCCGUGAAGUUUUAUAUAUGCACUGGAGCUACUGGAUCUUGACCAUGAAUUCAUUAACUCAUUAUUGCAGAGUUUUUCAUUUUGCCUGAGAAAAUACAAUUGUAGCAACACAUGCAACAUGCUGCAUCAAUUCAGAUGGGAAUGCAUUUUAUUCAGAAUUAGAAGAUUUCUUUGUCUCCCCACCCCUUGGAUUUCUACAUGAAAUUGGAAUAUUUGUAAUGCCAAAGGAAUAAAAUUGUCCAUCCAGAUA
Molecule: long non-coding RNA, 15162 nt
Organism: Anolis carolinensis (green anole)
Lineage: Eukaryota; Metazoa; Chordata; Lepidosauria; Squamata; Anolidae
Exons: 3
Source: RefSeq, a predicted model, not a curated record